GAUGAACGCUGGCGGCGUGCCUAAUACAUGCAAGUCGAGCGAACGGACGAGAAGCUUGCUUCUCUGAUGUUAGCGGCGGACGGGUGAGUAACACGUGGAUAACCUACCUAUAAGACUGGGAUAACUUCGGGAAACCGGAGCUAAUACCGGAUAAUAUUUUGAACCGCAUGGUUCAAAAGUGAAAGACGGUCUUGCUGUCACUUAUAGAUGGAUCCGCGCUGCAUUAGCUAGUUGGUAAGGUAACGGCUUACCGAGGCAACGAUGCAUAGCCGACCUGAGAGGGUGAUCGGCCACACUGGAACUGGGACACGGUCCAGACUCCUACGGGAGGCAGCAGUAGGGAAUCUUCCGCAAUGGGCGAAAGCCUGACGGAGCAACGCCGCGUGAGUGAUGAAGGUCUUCGGAUCGUAAAACUCUGUUAUUGGGGAAGAACAUAUGUGUAAGUAACUGUGCACAUCUUGACGGUACCUAAUCAGAAAGCCACGGCUAACUACGUG
This 497-nucleotide ribosomal RNA is filed under the name uncultured bacterium. Its description in RNAcentral is "partial 16S ribosomal RNA". It matches the Rfam family "Bacterial small subunit ribosomal RNA", at positions 28 to 507 of the family's 1533-position model. The record is from RNAcentral.